GGGGGCGACCUGGUUUCGACGGGGAGCGUGAGUUGCCACCUGCCAUUCGUAGUUGGUCGAAGGGCUACGUAUAAAAAUCGAUCAAAAAACAACUGCCAACGAAAAUCUGGCACUCGCAGCCUAAUUUAACGCUGUGACGGUUCUCUGGAAGUUUCUGCCAGUAAACUCUGGAAGAGCCGACGACAAAACUGGCUGGGCUUAACACUGGGUCACUAGGGUAAUUAAGCCGAGAUUAACUAGUGAAUCGGGCUAGUAGAGGCCUGCCUGUGGGCUACGAAAACCUUAAACCUCUAAAUUGCAGGACAUAAUGGUAGAGGGUGUCGGUGAACCUUUUCGGACGCGGGUUCGAUUCCCGCCGCCUCCACU
This 366-nucleotide transfer-messenger RNA is filed under the name bovine gut metagenome. It matches the Rfam family "transfer-messenger RNA". From Rfam's summary of the family: Bacterial tmRNA, also known as 10Sa RNA or SsrA, is named for its dual tRNA and mRNA-like properties. Its role is to liberate the mRNA from a stalled ribosome. The record is from RNAcentral.